This is a long non-coding RNA of Zingiber officinale, 338 nucleotides long. RefSeq lists it as uncharacterized. The record is from RefSeq and is a predicted model, not a curated record. The transcript is spliced from 3 exons. Lineage: Eukaryota; Viridiplantae; Streptophyta; Magnoliopsida; Zingiberales; Zingiberaceae.
UGCAUUUCCUCAAGAGGAAUAUAUUUCACGAGGCCACUAACAACUGUUCGAGGGGAUUCUUCACCGACAUCAAUUUCUUCAACAUAGAGUGAAUCUGCAUCUGGGUGCUUCUGAACUUUUUUGAUGAGGCCAACAGGUUCUAUUGACAAAGUUUUAUGUUGUGGUUUUAUUUGCCGAUAUGAAUGGGGUACUUGAAGAGUAUGAUUUAUCAAAUCUGUUAUUGUGAUUGUAGCAACUACAUUUCUCCAAAUUUCAGCUAUCAACCCUGUUUUACGUCUUCUACAGAAUGUUGGAAAAGGUUGAUAUGGAAGAAUCAGCAAGUGAGAAAGAGGAGUCCG